AGAGUUAAAAGUACGUGAAAUUGCUAAAAGGGAAACGAUUGACGUUAGCAUUACUGUAUGAAAAUCAAUUGUUUUGGGUAACUGAAACGGUGCAUUUUUUAUACGACUUGUCAACAACAGCUCUGAAUGUUGCACAAGGCUAAGUGAAGGUAGCUACUUCGGUAGUGUUAUAGCACUUGGUCAUUCAACUUUCGGGGCUGAGGAAUGCAGUGUAGGCUUUACGCAGAUCUACCAGAGUCUGGCGUCUGGUGUUGCUUGGACAGCAUGCUGACCAGGUGAUACUCAGAUUCCAUCACUUUGACUAGGUUCUUCUACACUCAGGUUGUUGAUAGAAUAACGUUAAACGACC
RNAcentral lists this non-coding RNA (349 nucleotides) under uncultured fungus. RNAcentral also lists the same sequence under 1 other name. Lineage: Eukaryota; Fungi. The record is from RNAcentral.